CUCAAAACAACUUUGAAUUUUUCUUAUUCAUUUUCCAUAUAAUUGCCAAUUAUAGAAUAUUCUCAAGUUUUACACUUCCAUCUCAUGGGGCAACUACAUAGGAAGUUUAUGAUACAAGGCUUAGUCCCAGAUUAUAAGCAGAACCAUGAAAACACUCGACAUAGCAAAUAUUUAUUACUAAUUAUCUAAUGUUGACCAAAUAUACCAGCCCAGUGGCUCACCCUCCCCUGCUCAUUCGAGUUUUAAUCAAAUUGAAUUACUCGUUCGAGCUUAUGGAUUCUGAUACGAUAUUAAAAUUUAAAAUUCCAUUUAAAAACUUCAUCUCAUUAAAAUAGUAGUCCAACCCUUUAUAUAACAUUUAACCGAGAUGAAAUUUGUUUCUUAACAUACCUAGUAAGAUAAUUGCCCGUUUGAACAUAUGAAUCUUGAAAAUCAUGUACUCAUUUGAGUCGAACAAAUAUAAUUCAUCGUUUGAGUUUAAUGGACUCUACUGUUAUAUUAAAAGUCAGAGUAACCAAAAUCUUAUAUUUUUUAUGAACACUUAAUACGGCUUACCAAAAAAUGCAAAUCAGGUCAAAGCCUUUAUGCAUCUACACCUCAAAACAACUUUGAAUUUUUCUUAUUCAUUUUCCAUAUAAUUGCCAAUUAUAGAAUAUUCUCAAGUUUUACACUUCCAUCUCAUGGGGCAACUACAUAGGAAGUUUAUGAUACAAGGUUUAGUCCCAGAUUAUACGCAGAAACAUGAAAACACUCGACAUAGCAAAUAUUUAUUACUAAUUAUCUAAUGUUGACCAAAUAUACCAGCCCAGUGGCUCACCCUCCCCCUCCAGCUGCUGCCCUUCCGCCGCCAGUAACACAUUCGAGAAAUAGCUGCCGCCAUCGUCACUGC
This 889-nucleotide long non-coding RNA is filed under the name Olea europaea (common olive). Its description in RNAcentral is "long non-coding RNA (OEUR_LNC015483)". Lineage: Eukaryota; Viridiplantae; Streptophyta; Magnoliopsida; Lamiales; Oleaceae. The record is from RNAcentral.